Long non-coding RNA from Panicum hallii, 791 nucleotides. RefSeq lists it as uncharacterized. Lineage: Eukaryota; Viridiplantae; Streptophyta; Magnoliopsida; Poales; Poaceae. The record is from RefSeq and is a predicted model, not a curated record. The transcript is spliced from 3 exons.
UAAGCGCGACCUUGGCCACCCGCGCUACGGCUGGCGAGCGACAGCGCUGUGAAGGUCGGUGAGCUCUGCCUAGCCUGGACGCCGUCGUGUGGGGGCUCCCAUGAGCGUUCGACGAACGCGGUGGCGUGUGGGAGCGCGAGGAGUCAUUCGAGAUCAGCAGCCCGAGCUUCACGAAGCUCCUUUGCGGCGCCAUGAGAAAUCUUUAUUCCCCAGCUGUAACCGCUGCCCAACGCCAACCCGCAGGCAAUGGUUUGUCUUCUACCUUCGAUCAGCCGUAAGCGAAGAACACUCCCCGACAAGAUCUCACCUUCUCUUGUUACUUGGAUGGUGACCAGCGAGGACCUCGCCCAGAUUCACAUAUCCUAGGAGGAGAAGGACAAGCUGGUGGCCGAGGUGAUGCGCUACGUGCUUUUCAAGAUGCAACAGACCUACGGCAAACCUACGAAGGCAAGUGAAGGGGAUCAGAUUAGUUGUGUUGUUUUAGGAUAACUUCAUGGUCCGAUGUUCCUGGUUUCUUCUGUUGGAGAACCUGGCGAACUCCGGUCGCCGGCGUUCACACAAACGCUCUCAAGAACACACUCUAGCGUACAGGAUUACAACCAACAAUCUCCUCCUAAUCCUGACGCAGAUACUUGAUGUUGAUGACGCCGAUCCUCUCACAUAGUUCCUGGAACUUCACGUGAGCUAGCGACUUCGUCAGUACGUCCGCGAGCUGAUCACCGGUAGAAAUCUGCUCGAGAACAAUCCUCCCAACAUCCACACGCUCCCUGGUGUAAUGAUAUUUGACAUCA